Non-coding RNA from Acyrthosiphon pisum (pea aphid), 87 nucleotides. Lineage: Eukaryota; Metazoa; Arthropoda; Insecta; Hemiptera; Aphididae. The record is from Rfam.
GUUCUCGUCAAAGUGGUUGUGAAACGUUCUGGUUUUCAUUUUAAAUUCAAUUAAUAUCGUAUCACAGCCAGCUUUGUAUGAGCACUG